RNAcentral lists this transfer RNA (72 nucleotides) under Candidatus Woesearchaeota archaeon. RNAcentral's name for it is "tRNA-Arg". It matches the Rfam family "tRNA". From Rfam's summary of the family: Transfer RNA (tRNA) molecules are approximately 80 nucleotides in length. Their secondary structure includes four short double-helical elements and three loops (D, anti-codon, and T loops). The record is from RNAcentral. Lineage: Archaea; Nanobdellati; Candidatus Woesearchaeota.
GGGCCUGUAGUGUAAUGGACAACACGAGCGGCUUCGGACCGCUAACUCCCGGUUCGAAUCCGGGCAGGCUCA